UACAGAGGUGCCGAGCGUUAGGCGGAAUCACUGGGCUUAAAGCGUGUGUAGGCGGAUGCCUAAGUACCUUGUGAAAUCCCACAGCUCAACUGUGGAACUGCUUGGUAUACUGGGUGUCUUGAGCCACUUAGGGGUUACCGGAACAAAUGGUGGAGCGGUGAAAUGCGUAGAUAUCAUUUGGAACGCCAAUGGUGAAAACAGGUAACUGGGAGUGUGCUGACGCUGAGACACGAAAGCCAGGGGAGCGAACGGG
RNAcentral lists this ribosomal RNA (253 nucleotides) under uncultured bacterium. RNAcentral's name for it is "partial 16S ribosomal RNA". It matches the Rfam family "Bacterial small subunit ribosomal RNA", at positions 524 to 776 of the family's 1533-position model. The record is from RNAcentral.